AAACCAACCGGGAUUGCCUUAGUAACGGCGAGUGAAGCGGCAAAAGCUCAAAUUUGAAAUCUGGUACCUUCGGUGCCCGAGUUGUAAUUUGGAGAGGGCAACUUUGGGGCCGUUCCUUGUCUAUGUUCCUUGGAACAGGACGUCAUAGAGGGUGAGAAUCCCGUGUGGCGAGGAG
Molecule: ribosomal RNA, 175 nt
Filed under: uncultured Saccharomyces
Lineage: Eukaryota; Fungi; Ascomycota; Saccharomycetes; Saccharomycetales; Saccharomycetaceae
Description: partial 26S ribosomal RNA
Rfam family: Eukaryotic large subunit ribosomal RNA
Source: RNAcentral